UACAGGGGGUGCAAACGUUGCUCGGAAUUAUUGGGCGUAAAGCGCGCGUAGGCGGUUAUUUAAGUCGGAUGUGAAAGCCCUCGGCUCAACUGGGGAAGUGCAUCCGAAACUGAAUGGCUUGAGUACGAAAGAGGAUCGCGGAAUUCCCGGUGUAGAGGUGAAAUUCGUAGAUAUUGGGAGGAACACCUGUGGCGAAAGCGGCGCACUGGACCAUAACUGACGCUGAUGCGCGAAAGCUAGGGGAGCAAACAGG
This 253-nucleotide ribosomal RNA is filed under the name uncultured bacterium. RNAcentral's name for it is "partial 16S ribosomal RNA". It matches the Rfam family "Bacterial small subunit ribosomal RNA", at positions 524 to 776 of the family's 1533-position model. The record is from RNAcentral.